ACCAUUUAUAAGGCAAAGAAAAAUAAACAGAAAUAAUCGGAUACUUUAACAAACUGGAUUUCAUAUAUAACAGAUGCAUAUAAUAACUUCAACAAAUUAAUGUAUAUUAUUGCUAUAAACUGUUAAAGCUCAACAAAAUAAAAUAAAAAAAUAUAGAAAAUGUAACAGAAAAUAAAUGUAAAUAUCUAGAUAUAUUAUAGAAAUUAAUAUUCUUAUUCAUGGAAUCUUUGAACAACCUGGUAAAUAACAAAUAAAAUAAUUUAAAACACUGCCAAAGAAUAUUGUAACAUAAAAAUAGUAAUUUCGGUAUAAAACUUCAGUGUCAAAAGUAUAUACCUGUAUUCUAUAUUUGAACACCUUUCACGACACUGUAUUCCAAAAACAUUUUAAACUUUCUAGAUAAAAUAUUCAUAAAGAGUUCUGCAGCACCUUGGUCUGCCACUUCUAACUUCUGUUCUGAUAGUAAGAGUGUAAUGGUGACUGUCAGAAACAAGUAUAAGUGAAUUCAUUGAUUUGUUAUAUUUCAAGAAGAUUGUUAUAUUUCAAGAAGAUUGUCAUAUCAAUUCCAAGUUUUAAAAUCUUUUACCACAACCCAUACCUAAAUGUUGACUGCCAAAGAAAAGAGAACAAAAAUCCUUUUAUAUCGAAAAAUGCUCCCCCCCCCCCCAAAAAAAAAAAAAAACUUGUGUGAAAAUUUCCUAGUUUGAAAAAUGUUAUUAAUGCUGUAUAAACUCUAGCCUUAGAUUGUUCCUAAAUCUAAACUUAGAAAUAAGUCCAUUUAUCAGAAAAAUAUUAAUAAUUUGAAAAUGAAGAAGCUUCUGUCCCAGUAUUAUUAAAAUCCUAGAAAUGUUGAAAAAGUUAUUGAAAUCUAAUUCUAAAAUUUGCUUUGAAGUUUAAACAUUAUGUCACAUUUAGGAAUGAUUAUGAAUGCCUAAAUAACAAAAUCAAUGAAAUGAUUUUCCUUUAAUUUUUUAGAUUUCUUCUACAAAUCUUUGAGUAGAAAAUUCUUAACCGAAACAUUAAAGCUAUCAUGGUACCUUUCUGAAACAAGUUUAAUUCAUUUUGGAUAUGGAUUUCCUUAAAUGGAUUAUUUUACAGAUAAAAUUUAGUAUAUUGUAUCAAAAUUGCCUAGAACAGCAAUAUACAUCAUUAAAUAACACUAGAACACACCCGUGAUAUCGCGGGUCCGUGACUGAUAUAUAACUAUGCGUAUGCCUUAUUUUAGUAUUGGUAUUGUCAUCUGAUAAAGUCAUGUCGAUUAUAACAUGUAUAAGGUGCACAGUUUUCUCUGCUUUCAAAAUCUUUCUGUUUAAACCCGUCGACCUGGAACCUUCAAUUAUUGGUAAUAUCAAUAAUUUGGAAAACAAAAGGGCCUGGAAUGGAGUAUUUUUUACUCAACAGUAUACAGCAAAAUUCUAAAUACACUUUUUGGUGGUGCGCCUGUCAGAUGCGCAACGUACAAAUAAGGUAAUAGGUAACAGGUGAAUAUACUAUUGGUAUCGGUGUCGGACUCGAUCCGGAACUUCUUAAUUAUUGGCAAUAUUAAUUACGUGGAAAACAAAUGGGCCUAGAGUGGUGUAAUUUUUAAUCAACACCAUUGUACUAUAUUAGUUAUAUAUAAAGCUGAAUUCUUUGAUUCAUCGGUUUUACGUGAUGACGGCUGACAAAUUGGACCUCGUAAUUUUAGUAUUAUAGAUAUGAACUUUUAUAUCUGAAUGACUAUAUCUAUGGAUGCAAAUUUAUAUAAAUUAUUAAGCAUACAUUCUCCUACAAAAUUGCACACAUUCAUACACAUUUGCAAUAUUUUAAACAUUUGAUAGUUUCUUUGAUCUAUUUGCGUAGAAAAUAAAAUACUGAACCUUUGUACAGUGUGUGAUCGGCAAUGCCUUAGGCAUCGUUAGUCUUGAAAGGGUUAAUUAAUGGAAACUUCAGUAGAAAGGUUUCUUAAUUUUUAAACAUCUCUUACUUUUAUUACCUA
RNAcentral lists this long non-coding RNA (1978 nucleotides) under Mytilus galloprovincialis (Mediterranean mussel). Lineage: Eukaryota; Metazoa; Mollusca; Bivalvia; Mytilida; Mytilidae. The record is from RNAcentral.